RNAcentral lists this transfer RNA (85 nucleotides) under Ophiocordyceps unilateralis. It matches the Rfam family "tRNA". From Rfam's summary of the family: Transfer RNA (tRNA) molecules are approximately 80 nucleotides in length. The record is from Rfam by way of RNAcentral. Lineage: Eukaryota; Fungi; Ascomycota; Sordariomycetes; Hypocreales; Ophiocordycipitaceae.
GCCCCCUUGGCCUAAUGGUUAAGGCGUCAGACUUCUACAUUGAAGAUAAAUCUGAAGACUGGGAGUUCGAAUCUCCCAGGGGGCU